AUGGUGGCACCGGCGGCGGAGGCGGUGGCGGUGGCGGUGGCCGGCCGCAAGACCUUGCCGGACGAGUGUAAGACCCUGUGGCAGAUCGCUGGGCCGGUCAUCCUCACCGGGGUCUUCCAGUUCCUCAUCGGCUUCGUUACCGUCGCCUUCGUCGGCCACAUCGACAAGGUCGAGCUCGCCGCCGUCUCCAUUGUCAUCGGCGUCAUCGAAGGCCUCGGCUUCGGGCUCCUGCUCGGCAUGGGGAGCGCCCUGGAGACGCUGUGCGGGCAGGCGGUGGGGGGCGGGCAGCUCCACACGCUGGGCGUCUACAUGCAGCGGUCCUGGAUCAUCUGCCUCGCCACGGCCGUCGCCCUGCUCCUGGUCUACAUGUUCACUGACCCCAUCCUCCGCCUGCUCCGGCAGUCCCCGGAGAUCUCGGCGGUGGCGGGGCGGUACGCGCGCUGGUGCGUGCCGCAGCUCUUCGCCUACGCCGUCAACUUCCCCAUGCAGAAGUUCUACCAGGCGCAGAGCCGGGUGUGGGUCAUGACGGUCAUCUCCGGCGCCGCCGUCGGCGUGCACGCGCUGCUCAACUGGGUCGUCGUGGCCAAGCUCGGCCGCGGCCUCCUGGGCGCCGCCAUGGUCGGCAACGCCUCCUGGUGGCUCAUCAACGCGGUGCAGUUCGUGUACGUUGUCGGCGGGUCCUUCCCGGAGGCGUGGACGGGGUUCUCGCGCAAGGCGUUCGCCAGCCUCGGCGGCUUCGUCAGGCUCUCCCUCGCGUCCGCAGUUAUGCUCUGCUUAGAGAUGUGGUACUACACGGCAGUAAUCAUUCUGGUGGGCUGCUUGAAGAACCCAGAGAUUCAAGUCGGGGCCGUCUCCAUAUGCACGAACUACAACAUCUGGACACUGAUGGUAUCCGUCGGCUUCAAUGCCGCAGUGAGCGUUCGCGUGGCGAACGAACUUGGCGCCAAGCACCCGAAAGCGGCCAAGUUCUCGGUCGUGGUGGCGGUGACCACGUCGGCCGCCGUCGGGCUCGUCACCCUCCUGGCGAGGAAGCAGCUGCCGAGGCUUUUCACCGACGACGAGCAGGUCGUCAAGGAGGCCGCAAAGCUGGGGUACCUUCUGGCUGCCACCAUAGGCCUCAACAGCAUCCAGCCGGUGCUAUCAGGAGUGGCCAUUGGAGCUGGGUGGCAGUCCUUGGUCGCCUGGGUCAACAUCGGCUGCUACUACCUCAUCGGCCUGCCCCUUGCAGCUGUCUUCGGCUUCAAGCUGAAGCUUAACGCAACGGGGAUUUGGGUGGGGAUGCUGAUCGGCACGGUUCUGCAGACCGUCAUCCUGUUUGUGAUCCUCUUCAGAACCAAAUGGCAGAAAGAGGCUAUGCUGGCAGAAGAGCGGGUGCGGAACUGGGGAGGAAACGUCGAGCUGCCGACCGUCCAAGAAGCAAGAUGA
This 1425-nucleotide ribosomal RNA is filed under the name Triticum aestivum (bread wheat). RNAcentral describes it as "partial small subunit ribosomal RNA". Lineage: Eukaryota; Viridiplantae; Streptophyta; Magnoliopsida; Poales; Poaceae. The record is from RNAcentral.